CCUAUGGGAGGCAGCAGGCGCGAAACCUCUGCAAUAGGCGAAAGCUUGACAGGGUUACUCUGAGUGAUGUCCGUUAAGGGCAUCUUUUGACACUUCUAAAAAUAGUGUAGAAUAAGGGGUGGGCAAGUCUGGUGUCAGCCGCCGCGGUAAUACCAGCACCCCGAGUGGUCGGGACGAUUAUUGGGCCUAAAGCAUCCGUAGCCGGUUCUGCAAGUCUUCCGUUAAAUCCACCUGCUCAACAGAUGGGCCGCGGGGGAUACUACAGGGCUAGGAGGCGGGAGAGGCAAGCGGUACUCGGUGGGUAGGGGUAAAAUCCUCUGAUCCACUGAAGACCACCAGUGGCGAAGGCGGCUUGCCAGAACGCGCUCGACGGUGAGGGAUGAAAGCUGGGGGAGCAAACCGGAUUAGAUACCCCGGUAGUCC
Molecule: ribosomal RNA, 423 nt
Filed under: uncultured Thermoprotei archaeon
Lineage: Archaea; Thermoproteati; Thermoproteota; Thermoprotei
Description: bacterial SSU rRNA
Rfam family: Archaeal small subunit ribosomal RNA
Source: RNAcentral